GGACCCCCGUUGUUAUGCGGCCGACUUCCGGUGCCUGUGUCCCUUCAAUCGUUGGCUUAUUGUGUGGCUAUCGUUUUGACGAGUGCUUGCGUGCUGCUACCAGUAACACUGGAAGUUGCAUUGCUAAAAGUUGGUUUUGCCGUGCAUGCCCGUAGGGAAUGUCACGACAAUUAUAAAGCGUUCAUGGCGUUGCCUCGUAUUGCUGGCCGGAUAGGCUAGCGACACCAAGGCCACUUCACGGUCGCUACUGGUCCCGGAUGUUGCUAACUUUGAAGGCUGAAGUUGCUUUGGCACCUCACGCCUAUGAAAUUGUCUCGGAAACAACGACAGUUGGCCUGGCCGAUGCCUUGCGCGGAAGCUAGUGCU
RNAcentral lists this unclassified non-coding RNA (366 nucleotides) under Paspalum pallens. Its description in RNAcentral is "partial external transcribed spacer". The record is from RNAcentral. Lineage: Eukaryota; Viridiplantae; Streptophyta; Magnoliopsida; Poales; Poaceae.